AGUGAACGCUGGCGGUAGGCCUAACACAUGCAAGUCGAACGGCAGCACAGUAAGAGCUUGCUCUUACGGGUGGCGAGUGGCGGACGGGUGAGGAAUACAUCGGAAUCUACUUUUUCGUGGGGGAUAACGUAGGGAAACUUACGCUAAUACCGCAUACGACCUACGGGUGAAAGCAGGGGAUCUUCGGACCUUGCGCGAUUGAAUGAGCCGAUGUCGGAUUAGCUAGUUGGCGGGGCAAAGGCCCACCAAGGCGACGAUCCGUAGCUGGUCUGAGAGGAUGAUCAGCCACACUGGAACUGAGACACGGUCCAGACUCCUACGGGGGGCAGCAGUGGGGAAUAUUGGACAAUGGGCGCAAGCCUGAUCCAGCCAUACCGCGUGGGUGAAGAAGGCCUUCGGGUUGUAAAGCCCUUUUGUUGGGAAAGAAAAGCAGCAGGUUAAUACCCCGCUGUUCUGACGGUACCCAAAGAAUAAGCACCGGCUAACUUCGUG
RNAcentral lists this ribosomal RNA (492 nucleotides) under uncultured bacterium. RNAcentral describes it as "partial 16S ribosomal RNA". It matches the Rfam family "Bacterial small subunit ribosomal RNA", at positions 29 to 507 of the family's 1533-position model. The record is from RNAcentral.